AUAAUGCAUGCUUAUUGCACCACAUGUGUUUUUCUUUGAAACAAACUUGCUUUGGCGGUGGGCCCAGCCUGCCGCCAGAGGUCUAAACUUACAACCAAUUUUUUAUCAACUUGUCACACCAGAUUAUUACUUAAUAGUCAAAACUUUCAACAACGGAUCUCUUGGUUCUCGCAUCGAUGAAGAACGCAGCGAAAUGCGAUACGUAAUAUGAAUUGCAGAUAUUCGUGAAUCAUCGAAUCUUUGAACGCACAUUGCGCCCUCUGGUAUUCCGGAGGGCAUGCCUGUUUGAGCGUCGUUUCUCCCUCAAACCGCUGGGUUUGGUGUUGAGCAAUACGACUUGGGUUUGCUUGAAAGACGGUAGUGGUAAGGCGGGAUCGCUUUGACAAUGGCUUAGGUCUAACCAAAAACAUUGCUUGCGGCGGUAACGUCUACCACGUAUAUCUUCAAACUUUGACCUCAAAUCAGGUAGGACUACCCGCUGAACUUAAGCAUAUCAAAAGCCGGGAGGAA
RNAcentral lists this ribosomal RNA (510 nucleotides) under Candida albicans. Its description in RNAcentral is "eukaryotic LSU rRNA". The stretch from base 142 to 295 matches the Rfam family "5.8S ribosomal RNA". Lineage: Eukaryota; Fungi; Ascomycota; Pichiomycetes; Serinales; Debaryomycetaceae. The record is from RNAcentral.